Mercenaria mercenaria is the source of this 621-nucleotide long non-coding RNA. RefSeq lists it as uncharacterized. Lineage: Eukaryota; Metazoa; Mollusca; Bivalvia; Venerida; Veneridae. The transcript is spliced from 4 exons. The record is from RefSeq and is a predicted model, not a curated record.
CCCAUGUUUACAAAAGGAAUGUCCAGUAUUUUUGGUGUCUUUCGGUGAUACUUUUACACAUUAGAACAACUGAAUAAAAUCUCCUUUCAAUUAACUAUCGAUAUAUCUAUUAUUUUACGUAAGACUGAGUCCCAAUGUUAUUGCAAUUCGGUAGCAAAGAUGUUGACAUCACAUGUCGUCUGAUGAUGAGUUUUACAGGAUCGAAUAAGGUUUGGUCAUUGUAUUCCCUGAAAGGAACAAGAGGAGAAAAGAAACUGGAAGACCUGCAUGCCUAUCCGCAGCCCAAUGCUGGCUGCAGGUCAAUAUCGAAUGCUUUUAUGAAAACUCAUAAGACAAUAACAAAAAAAAGAAGCUGAGGAUGCUGUUUUUGAAACAUGUUCCAUUCAAAAAUGGUGGAUUGAAAUUUAAGAAAGGUGUGACGGGUGCGGCUACUGCAGGCAGGGAGGAUUUGACGGUCAGCCAGAGGAUUUGGAGAUAUACUGUAAUGUCUUUAAUGUGGACUUGCGUGUGAUUUAAGUUUUCACAAGGGUUUUAGUGUGUGUGAUAGUAUGUCAGUUUUCAAAAUUGAGCUAUGACAAUUUGCUCAAACUACAUAACUCAAAGAACUUUGAAGCGGUCUUG